This 1319-nucleotide long non-coding RNA is filed under the name Homo sapiens (human). RNAcentral describes it as "non-protein coding C9orf135-DT:15". The record is from RNAcentral. Lineage: Eukaryota; Metazoa; Chordata; Mammalia; Primates; Hominidae.
AGAAUGCAGUGAGGGUAGCGACCGGGCUACACAGUAGAAACAGGGUUUCACCAUGUUGGCCAUGCUGGUCUCGAACUCCAGAACUCAAGUGAUCCGUCCGCCUCGGUCUUCCAAACUGCUGGGAUUACAGGCGUGAGCCACCGCGCCCAGCCUUUGGGGAAGUUCUUUUUACCGUCCAUCAUCCAUUGCCACCACACCUUCUGCUUACGAGUUAUUUAUAAUAAGUUUAACUAAAAGAGAACGAGAGAACAUCCCCUGAAACCCAAAGUUUGUCAUUCUAUACAGCUUUCCUGCCUGCAAAAGAGGAGGAGCAGACUCAUCCAGCAAAUCACCUAAAAAGUUUGAAGAUCAAAAAGCCUAGCUCCAGUUUCAGAUCCUUCCCCUACCUUUCUGAACACUAGUUUCUUCCUCUGAAAAACGAAAGAGGGAACGGGACCGUAGAGUGGAGUGGGCACAAGAAUCGCAAGUCCCUUCUGGCUAUGACGCUGCAAGACUCUAGGUACAGUUUAGGACUCCGGGCAUUCAGAUCCCCGGGACUUGUCAAGUUCUCCUCAUUGACAUUUUUGAUAUUUCGUGACAACACAAAUUCAUCACAUUUUUGUGCUGUGUGUUAUAUGUGGGAAGGAGAUUUUAAAAAGAUUGCCUUUUGAAGUUAUUGGAUAGCUGUGUUACAGAAGAAAACAUUGCCUUCAAGAAGUUAUUGGAUAGAUAUGUUACAGAAGAAAAGACGUUUGUUUCAUUUUUGACUUUGCAGGAAAAGAAUAUGUAACACAUCAGAAUUCUUCUCUCCUCCCUGGCCUUAGUCGAGUACCUGAGGGGCAUUAAAGCACUUCCUCCUUGCAAUCACUUACCCAGCAUAGUCCUUAAUACAGAUAUCUUCAUUGUUGAAUGAAUGAAUGAAUGUUCAUUAUGUUUGAUUACCUUAGGUUUACUUUCCAAAAGUGUCUUACUUGAGGAAGACCACAUCUACACAAAAAAAUCAAACUUUAAAACAGAGUAAGAGACCAUUCACACUACAAAUAGAUUCUCGGUUUAUAAAAGAUGUGUUAUAGUGCUCCCAUAAAUAGUGAGGCACUCUUCUGUAUCAGAUGGCACAAAUUUGAUUACAUAUAACUACUAAGUGCUUUUCCGUGGUCUGUGGUUCAUAGUGUGGGUGCCUGUGGUAUGCUAAGGUCUCUAUUUUACUGACAGCCACAGUUAAAAUAUAUUUCUUAAAACCAAAUAAACAGUCCACCAUCACCAGCCAAAUGCUAGGAGAGUGCUGACUGCUAUUUUAGCUGCUUUCUUCUAGGCAGAAUGAAAAGAAAAACAUAAGUUAA